This 424-nucleotide ribosomal RNA is filed under the name uncultured delta proteobacterium. RNAcentral describes it as "bacterial SSU rRNA". It matches the Rfam family "Bacterial small subunit ribosomal RNA", at positions 663 to 1082 of the family's 1533-position model. Lineage: Bacteria; Deltaproteobacteria. The record is from RNAcentral.
GGAAUUCCUGGUGUAGAGGUGAAAUUCGUAGAUAUCAGGAAGAACACCAAUGGCGAAGGCGACUUCCUGGACCAAUACUGACGCUGAGGCGCGAAGGCGUGGGGAGCGAACAGGAUUAGAUACCCUGGUAGUCCACGCUGUAAACGAUGAACACUAGGUGUAGCGGGUAUUGACCCCUGCUGUGCCGCAGUUAACGCAUUAAGUGUUCCGCCUGGGGAGUACGGUCGCAAGAUUAAAACUCAAAGGAAUUGACGGGGGCUUGCACAAGCGGUGGAGCAUGUGGUUUAAUUCGACGCAACGCGAAAAACCUUACCUGGAUUUGACAUCUUGGGAAUUUUAUUGAAAAAUAAAAGUGCCCUUUUGGGAAGCCUGAUGAGAGGUGCUGUAUGGUUGUCGUCAGCUCGUGUUGUGAGAUGUUGGGUUA